This 253-nucleotide ribosomal RNA is filed under the name uncultured bacterium. RNAcentral describes it as "partial 16S ribosomal RNA". It matches the Rfam family "Bacterial small subunit ribosomal RNA", at positions 524 to 776 of the family's 1533-position model. The record is from RNAcentral.
UACGAAGGGUGCAAGCGUUACUCGGAAUUACUGGGCGUAAAGCGUGCGUAGGUGGUUUGUUAAGUCUGUUGUGAAAGCCCCGGGCUCAACCUGGGAAUGGCAAUGGAUACUGGCAGGCUAGAGUGCGGUAGAGGGUAGUGGAAUUCCCGGUGUAGCGGUGAAAUGCGUAGAUAUCUGGAGGAAUACCGGUGGCGAAGGCGGCAUCCUGGACCGACAUUGACGCUGAGGAGCGAAAGCUAGGGGAGCAAACAGG